UUUGAGGGUUUGAUCCUGGCCCAGGAUGAACGCUAGCGGCGUGCUUUAAGCAUGCAAGUGGGACGGUCCCUGCGGACAGUCGCGAACGGCUGAGUAAUACGUAAGUACUUACACCAUGGUGUGGAAUACCUCCGCGAAAGCGGGGCUAAUACCGCAUGACCUCAGGCUAACUCCGUGCCAGCAGCAGCGGUAAUACGGAGGGUGCAAGCGUUAUCCGGAUUUAUUGGGCGUAAAGCGUUUCGUAGGCGAUGAAAUAAGUCACUUUUCAAAGACCACGGCUUAACCGGGGGAAGGGGAGUGAUACUAUUUUAUUUGAAUCAUUUAGGGGCUACCGGAACUAUCGGUGUAGGGGUGAAAUCCGUUGAUAUCGAUAGGAACACCAAGGGCGAAGGCAGGUAGCUGGGAGUUGAUUGACGCUGAGGAACGAAAGCUAGGGGAGCGAAAGGGAUUAGAGACCCCUGUAGUCCUAGCCGUAAACUAUGCUCGCUAGCCCUCUGUCCGAGUUUACUCGGUGGGGAGCGUAAGCUAACGCGUUAAGCGAGCCGCCUGGGGAGUACGAACGCAAGUUUAAAACUCAAAGGAAUUGACGGGGACCCGCACAACCAGUGGAGCAUGUG
RNAcentral lists this ribosomal RNA (617 nucleotides) under Candidatus Woesebacteria bacterium GW2011_GWA1_39_21. RNAcentral's name for it is "bacterial SSU rRNA". It matches the Rfam family "Bacterial small subunit ribosomal RNA", at positions 1 to 943 of the family's 1533-position model. The record is from RNAcentral. Lineage: Bacteria; Candidatus Woeseibacteriota.